Molecule: long non-coding RNA, 2296 nt
Filed under: Homo sapiens (human)
Lineage: Eukaryota; Metazoa; Chordata; Mammalia; Primates; Hominidae
Description: non-protein coding lnc-ZNF705D-2:50
Source: RNAcentral
GGGACCCAGGGACUGGGAGGCCGGUUGGGGCUGGGCUCAGGGGCCGAGACCUAGCUGGGCUUGGGGCGGGGCCGAGACGGAGCGAGGGGUCCAGGGUGUGGGAAACGGGGAGGGGUUUGAGGAGGGGAUCGGAAUGUGGCUCAAGUUCGGGAGGCGUUACCUGCGGAGGGUUUGAGGCAGGCCCAAGAGCGAGCCCAUGGUCUUCCGACGCGGGGCCAGGGGCGGGCCCCAGGAUCCGGAGCUUCGUGCGGGGCCGAGUCCAGGUUUGGGGCCCGGGAGGCGGGGCCAGUUAGGGCGACUGUCCCUGGGAUCGUCGGGUCAGGCCUUGGGCUAACGUAGGCACUCUCGCAGUUCCUCCGCCUUCAGGAAGGUCUUUUCAGCAGGGGCCUUACGGGUGCAUGCUUCGGUCCUGGAGGCCUUAUCCUAGCCUCCUCUCCAUCAGCGCCACCCGUCUGGGGCCCGAAAGGAGGGAGCUUUCCCUCUGUCCCCCAGCCUUUGGACUGUCACCAAACAAGCCAUUCGUUCAUCAAAUACUUUUUAAGCGCCUACCAUGUGCCUGACAAGGGAGAUGUAACGGUGAGAAAAACUAGGUGUGGUCCAGGCCCUUCAGGGGCUCAGGUGCUCGUGGAAGAAGUGGACAUUGAAGUACUUAUCACACAAAUGAGGAUAAAAGUACGAUAGCGAUAUCUACCACGAAGCUGUUGUUCCCCACCAGAACCAAAUGAGCGCAAGAUCUGACAAAGAAAAAAAAAGGUUCAUCUUUUAUUCCUCCAAACACUUUCAUUUAAAUCAAGAGGAUGGGAUGUGGUUAUUGCUGUGUUUUUAGACAGAAUCAACGGUUUCUGGGUCUGAGAUGUUGCAUACACCUUCUCAGUCCCUGUAUCCUGAGAUGGAGUCACCUGAGAAUCCACAGCAAGUCCUAACCAGGGAUGGGUCUGGGUGAUUAAGGAAGGUUGGCUUCAGAACUGGGCCAGGGGCACUGCUUUGCUUUUGCUGUUUUGAUCAGCUCUCUGCCUGAAGGAGACAAGAAAAACCAACGGGAACAGCUGGGGAAACUGAGUUACAGAGCUUGUCUGCACUGAGUCAUCAGGAGCAAAUGCUAGAUCAGAUAGGGUCUCUCUCUCUGCCACCCAGGCCAGAGUGCAGUUGACGCAGGGCAGGGGAGCCCCGAAGUGGAGCAUAGUGUGUCCGGAACUGGUGGGUUCUUGGUCUCACUGACUUCAAGAAAGAAGCCGCGGACCCUCGCGAAACUCCUGGAGGGCAGAGGCAUGCCUGCCAUCUUCAUCAUUGCAUUACCACCACCCAACACUAUCGGGGGACCUGCCCUGAUAAUCAGUCUACAGGUGUAUCCAGCAGCUCCAGAGAGACAGCGACCAGCGAGAAGGGGCCAUGAUGAUGGAGGUGGUUUUGUCAAAACGAAAAUGGGGAUAUGUAGGGAAAAGAAAGAGAGAUCAGACUGUUACUGUGUCUACAUAGAAAGGGAAGACAUAAGAGACUCCAUUUUGAAAAAGACCUGUACUUUAAACAAUUGCUUUGCUGAGAUGUUGUUAAUCUGUAGCUUUGCCCCAGCCACUUUGCCCCAACCACUUUGACCCAAUCUGGAGCUCAUAAAAACAUGUGUUGUAUGAAAUCAAGGUUUAAGGCAUGUAGGGCUGUGCAGGACGUGCCUUGUUAACCAAAUGUUUGCAAGCAGUAUACUUGGUAAAAGUCAUCACCAUUCUCUCAUCUCAAUAAACCAGGGGCACAAUGCACUGUGGAAAGCCGCAGGGACCUCUGCCCUUGAAAGCUGGGUAUUGUCCAAAGUUCCUCCCCAUGUGAUAGUCUGAAAUAUGGCCUCGUGGGAUGAGAAAGACCUGACGGUCCCCCAGCGCGACACCCAUAAAAGAUCUGUGCUGAGGUGGAUUAGUCAAAGAGGAAAGACUUGCAGUUGAGAUAGAGGAAGGCCACUGUCUCCUGACUGCCCCUGGGAACUGAAUGUCUCGGUAUAAAACACGAUUGUACAUUUGUUCAGUUCUGAGAUGGGAGAAAAACCGCCCUAUGGUGGGAGGCGAGACAUGUUUACAGCAAUGCUGCCUUGUUAUCCUUUACUCCACUGAGAUGUCUGGGUGGAGAGAAACAUAAAUCUGGCUUACAUGCACGUCCAGUCAUAGUACCUUCCCUUGAACUUCAUUAUGACAUGGAUUCUAUUGCUCACGUUUGUUGCUGACCUUCUCCUUAUUAUCACCCUGCCCUCCUACUACAUUCCUUUUUGCUGAAAUAAUGAAGAUAAUAAUCAAUAAAAACUGAGGGAAUUCAG